UUCGCCAGGGGACAACGAGCCCCAGCUUAAAACCCAAAGGACUUGGCGGUGCUUUAGACCCCCCUAGAGGAGCCUGUUCUAGAACCGAUACCCCCCGUUAAACCUCACCCUCUCUUGUUUUUCCCGCCUAUAUACCGCCGNCGUCAGCUUACCCUGUGAGGGCCUCACAGUAAGCAAAAUUGGUAAACCCCAAAACGUCAGGUCGAGGUGUAGCGUACGAGAGGGGAAGAAAUGGGCUACAUUUACUGAGUCAGUAAAUACGGAUGGUGUGCUGAAACUCACACCCCAAGGAGGAUUUAGCAGUAAGGAGGGAAUAGAGAGCCCCCCUGAAAAUGGCCCUGAAGCGCGCACACACCGCCCGUCACUCUCCCCCACAUUAAAUACAAAUACAUAAUAAAUGAGAACCCCACAAGGGGAGGCAAGUCGUAACAUGGUAAGUAUACCGGAAGGUGUACUUGGAAAACC
RNAcentral lists this ribosomal RNA (465 nucleotides) under Silhouettea sp. NMBE 1066428. RNAcentral's name for it is "partial 12S ribosomal RNA". It matches the Rfam family "Bacterial small subunit ribosomal RNA", at positions 868 to 1527 of the family's 1533-position model. The record is from RNAcentral. Lineage: Eukaryota; Metazoa; Chordata; Actinopteri; Gobiiformes; Gobiidae.